UACGUAGGGUGCGAGCGUUGUCCGGAAUUAUUGGGCGUAAAGAGCUUGUAGGCGGUCUGUCACGUCUGCUGUGAAAAUCCGGGGCUCAACCCCGGACUUGCAGUGGGUACGGGCAGACUAGAGUGUGGUAGGGGAGACUGGAAUUCCUGGUGUAGCGGUGAAAUGCGCAGAUAUCAGGAGGAACACCGGCGGCGAAGGCGGCACUCUGGGCCGGUACUGACGCUGAGGAGCGAAAGCGUGGGUAGCAAACAGG
This 253-nucleotide ribosomal RNA is filed under the name uncultured bacterium. RNAcentral describes it as "partial 16S ribosomal RNA". It matches the Rfam family "Bacterial small subunit ribosomal RNA", at positions 524 to 776 of the family's 1533-position model. The record is from RNAcentral.